Molecule: long non-coding RNA, 360 nt
Organism: Manacus vitellinus (golden-collared manakin)
Lineage: Eukaryota; Metazoa; Chordata; Aves; Passeriformes; Pipridae
Exons: 2
Source: RefSeq, a predicted model, not a curated record
CAGGUGCUGUCCAAGGCCCCGAAUCCCUCGGACCCCUCGGCCCCCCCGGACACUCAGGUGACCGUCCAGCUCUUCGACUCGGAGCCGCUGUCUCUGACGGUGCCGGGGCACAUCCCGUGGGACGAUCCCAAAUUCAUGGAGCUCGUGGCCCAGCAGGCGCUCCGGCACUACAAGGAGAACUCCAUAGAGUAGCCGGGCCAUCCCGCGGCUCCGCAGCCCUUCCAGCCCCGUUCCCGGCGGGAAUUGUCGCCGUUGCUGUGCCUCCCCCCACUCCCCUCCUCUCCCUCCUGCUGCCGGGACCACCCCCCAGCCCGUCCCGGGGGUCCCAAACUUGACAAUAAAGGUAGAGUUGGAUCCUUG